RNAcentral lists this ribosomal RNA (34 nucleotides) under Tortella bambergeri. Its description in RNAcentral is "partial 26S ribosomal RNA". The record is from RNAcentral. Lineage: Eukaryota; Viridiplantae; Streptophyta; Bryopsida; Pottiales; Pottiaceae.
AUCAGACCUCUGAUCAGAGAAGACUACCCGCUGA